RNAcentral lists this ribosomal RNA (896 nucleotides) under uncultured bacterium. RNAcentral's name for it is "bacterial SSU rRNA". It matches the Rfam family "Bacterial small subunit ribosomal RNA", at positions 60 to 946 of the family's 1533-position model. The record is from RNAcentral.
AGUCGAGGGGAAACGACAUCGAAAGCUUGCUUUUGAUGGGCGUCGACCGGCGCACGGGUGAGUAACGCGUAUCCAACCUGCCCACCACUUGGGGAUAACCUUGCGAAAGUAAGACUAAUACCCAAUGAUAUCUCUAGAAGACAUCUGAAAGAGAUUAAAGAUUUAUCGGUGAUGGAUGGGGAUGCGUCUGAUUAGCUUGUUGGCGGGGUAACGGCCCACCAAGGCGACGAUCAGUAGGGGUUCUGAGAGGAAGGUCCCCCACAUUGGAACUGAGACACGGUCCAAACUCCUACGGGAGGCAGCAGUGAGGAAUAUUGGUCAAUGGACGAGAGUCUGAACCAGCCAAGUAGCGUGCAGGAAGACGGCCCUAUGGGUUGUAAACUGCUUUUAUAAGGGAAUAAAGUGAGUCUCGUGAGACUUUUUGCAUGUACCUUAUGAAUAAGGACCGGCUAAUUCCGUGCCAGCAGCCGCGGUAAUACGGAAGGUCCGGGCGUUAUCCGGAUUUAUUGGGUUUAAAGGGAGCGUAGGCCGGAGAUUAAGCGUGUUGUGAAAUGUAGACGCUCAACGUCUGCACUGCAGCGCGAACUGGUCUUCUUGAGUACGCACAACGUGGGCGGAAUUCGUGGUGUAGCGGUGAAAUGCUUAGAUAUCACGAAGAACUCCGAUUGCGAAGGCAGCUCACGGGAGCGCAACUGACGCUGAAGCUCGAAAGUGCGGGUAUCGAACAGGAUUAGAUACCCUGGUAGUCCGCACGGUAAACGAUGGAUGCCCGCUGUUGGCCUGAAUAGGUCAGCGGCCAAGCGAAAGCAUUAAGCAUCCCACCUGGGGAGUACGCCGGCAACGGUGAAACUCAAAGGAAUUGACGGGGGCCCGCACAAGCGGAGGAACAUGUGGUU